GAUGAACGCUGGCGGCGUGCUUAAUACAUGCAAGUCGAACGGACGGGCCCUACGCUUGUGGGUCUCACGUUAGCCGAACGCGUGAGUAACACGCGUGUAUCCUCCACUUAUCAUUGUGGUAACUCUAGGAGACUGCGGAUAUUACCCCGGAGGAUCUUUUGCUCCGCGGUGUUCGUUAGAAAGAUUCGGCGGUUGGGGAUGGACUCGCGGCUUCUCAGCUUGUUGGGCGGGUAGGGGCUUACCAAGGCUUUGACGGGUAGCCGGCCUGAGAGGGUGACCGGCCACAUUGGGACUGAGAUACGGCCCAGACUCCUACGGGAGGCAGCAGUGGGGAAUAUUGCACAAUGGGCGGAAGCCUGAUGCAGCAACGCCGCGUGCGGGAUGACGGCCUUCGGGUUGUAAACCGCUUUCGCCUGUGACGAAGCGUGAGUGACGGUAAUGGGUAAAGAAGCACCGGCUAACUACGUG
Molecule: ribosomal RNA, 468 nt
Filed under: uncultured bacterium
Lineage: Bacteria
Description: partial 16S ribosomal RNA
Rfam family: Bacterial small subunit ribosomal RNA
Source: RNAcentral